GACGAACGCUGGCGGCGUGCCUAAUACAUGCAAGUUGAGCGCUGAAGGUUGGUACUUGUACCAACUGGAUGAGCAGCGAACGGGUGAGUAACGCGUGGGGAAUCUGCCUUUGAGCGGGGGACAACAUUUGGAAACGAAUGCUAAUACCGCAUAAAAACUUUAAACACAAGUUUUAAGUUUGAAAGAUGCAAUUACAUCACUCAAAGAUGAUCCCGCGUUGUAUUAGCUAGUUGGUGAGGUAAAGGCUCACCAAGGCGAUGAUACAUAGCCGACCUGAGAGGGUGAUCGGCCACAUUGGGACUGAGACACGGCCCAAACUCCUACGGGAGGCAGCAGUAGGGAAUCUUCGGCAAUGGACGAAAGUCUGACCGAGCAACGCCGCGUGAGUGAAGAAGGUUUUCGGAUCGUAAAACUCUGUUGGUAGAGAAGAACGUUGGUGAGAGUGGAAAGCUCAUCAAGUGACGGUAACUACCCAGAAGGGGACGGCUAACUACGU
Molecule: ribosomal RNA, 496 nt
Filed under: uncultured bacterium
Lineage: Bacteria
Description: partial 16S ribosomal RNA
Rfam family: Bacterial small subunit ribosomal RNA
Source: RNAcentral